GGACAGAGAGUAGAGAGAGAGAGGUAGAGGGACAGAGAGUAGAGAGAGAAGUAGAGGGACAGAGAGUAGAGAGAGAAGUAGAGGAACAGAGAGUAGAGAGAGGUAGAGGGACAGAGAGUAGAGAGAGAGAGAGGUAGAGGGACAGAGAGUAGAGAGAGAGAGGUAGAGGGACAGAGAGUAGAGAGAGAGAGGGAGAGGGACAGAGAGUAGAGAGAGAGAGGUAGAGGGACAGAGAGUAGAGAGAGGUAGAGGGACAGAGAGUAGAGAGAGAGAGGGAGAGGGACAGAGAGUAGAGAGAGAGAGGUAGAGGGACAGAGAGUAGAGAGAGAGGUAGAGGGACAGAGAGUAGAGAGAGAAGUAGAGGCACAGAGAAGAGAGAGAGAGGUAGAGGGACAGAGAGUAGAGAGAGAGAGAGGUAGAGGGACAGAGAGUAGAGAGAGAGGUAGAGGGACAGAGAGUAGAGAGAGAGGUAGAGGAACAGAGAGUAGAGAGAGAGGUAGAGGGACAGAGAGUAGAGAGAGAGGUAGAGGAACAGAGAGUAGAGAGAGAGGUAGAGGGAUAGAGAGUAGAGAGAGAGAGGUAGAGGGACAGAGAGUAGAGAGAGAGGUAGAGGGACAGAGAGUAGAGAGAGAGGUAGAGGGACAGAGAGUAGA
RNAcentral lists this long non-coding RNA (653 nucleotides) under Salmo salar (Atlantic salmon). RNAcentral describes it as "lncRNA (ENSSSAG00000090512.1)". The record is from RNAcentral. Lineage: Eukaryota; Metazoa; Chordata; Actinopteri; Salmoniformes; Salmonidae.